AGCGAACGCUGGCGGCGUGCCUAACACAUGCAAGUCGAACGUGAAAAGGGAAACCUGAGUAAAGUGGCGUACGGGUGAGUAACGCGUAGGUAAUCUACCCCAGAAUCUGGAAUAACCUGCCGAAAGGCGGGCUAAUACUGGAUAGAGCGAGGGAACUCGAAAGAGAGUUUUUCGGGAAAGGGAGCCCGCAAGGGCCUUCGUUCUGGGAUGAGCCUGCGUCUCAUUAGCUAGUUGGUAAGGUAACGGCUUACCAAGGCGAUGAUGAGUAGCUGGUCUGAGAGGAUGAUCAGCCACACUGGAACUGAAACACGGUCCAGACUCCUACGGGAGGCAGCAGUGGGGAAUCUUGCGCAAUGGACGAAAGUCUGACGCAGCCACGCCGCGUGAGUGAAGAAGGCCUUCGGGUUGUAAAGCUCUGUCGGAUGGGACGAACAUCUUCAUAGUGAAUAGCUAUGAGGACUGACGGUACCAUCAAAGGAAGCACCGGCUAACUCCGUG
This 498-nucleotide ribosomal RNA is filed under the name uncultured bacterium. RNAcentral describes it as "partial 16S ribosomal RNA". It matches the Rfam family "Bacterial small subunit ribosomal RNA", at positions 29 to 507 of the family's 1533-position model. The record is from RNAcentral.